This 254-nucleotide ribosomal RNA is filed under the name uncultured bacterium. RNAcentral's name for it is "partial 16S ribosomal RNA". It matches the Rfam family "Bacterial small subunit ribosomal RNA", at positions 524 to 776 of the family's 1533-position model. The record is from RNAcentral.
UACGUAGGGACCAAGCGUUGUUCGGAUUUACUGGGCGUAAAGGGCGCGUAGGCGGCAACUCAAGUCAGCUGUGAAAUCUCCGGGCUUAACUCGGAACGGUCAGCUGAUACUGUCUUGCUAGAGUGCAGAAGGGGCAAUCGGAAUUCUUGGUGUAGCGGUGAAAUGCGUAGAUAUCAAGAGGAACACCUGAGGUGAAGACGGGUUGCUGGGCUGACACUGACGCUGACAGCGCGAAAGCUAGGGUAGCAAACGGG